UUAAGUGAAUAAGGGCGCACGGUGGAUGCCUUGGCACUAGGAGCCGAUGAAGGACGGGACUAACACCGAUAUGCUUUGGGGAGCUGUACGUAAGCUAUGAUCCAGAGAUUUCCGAAUGGGGGAACCCAGCAUCUUUAAUAGGAUGUUACGAUUGUGUGAAUACAUAGCACAUUCGAGGUAGACGCAGAGAACUGAAACAUCUAAGUACCUGCAGGAAGAGAAAGAAAAUUCGAUUCCCUGAGUAGCGGCGAGCGAAACGGGAAAAGCCCAAACCAACAAGCUUGCUUGUUGGGGUUGUAGGACUCCAAUAUGGUCGUUCUUUCAGAUAGUCGAAUGACUUGGAAAAGUCAGUCAAAGAGGGUAAAAACCCCGUAGACGAAAUGUGGAAGACACCUAGGAGGAUCCUGAGUACGGCGGAACACGAGAAAUUCCGUCGGAAUCCGGGAGGACCAUCUCCCAAGGCUAAAUACUCCCUAGUGACCGAUAGUGAACCAGUACCGUGAGGGAAAGGUGAAAAGCACCCCGGAAGGGGAGUGAAAUAGAACCUGAAACCGUGUGCCUACAACAAGUCAAAGCCCGUUAAUGGGUGAUGGCGUGCCUUUUGUAGAAUGAACCGGCGAGUUACGAUUGCAUGCGAGGUUAAGUUGAAGAGACGGAGCCGCAGCGAAAGCGAGUCUGAAUAGGGCGUUUGAGUAUGUAGUCGUAGACCCGAAACCAUGUGAUCUACCCAUGUCCAGGUUGAAGGUGCGGUAAAACGCACUGGAGGACCGAACCCACGUACGUUGAAAAGUGCGGGGAUGAGGUGUGGGUAGCGGAGAAAUUCCAAACGAACUUGGAGAUAGCUGGUUCUCUCCGAAAUAGCUUUAGGGCUAGCCUCGGAAUUGAGAAUGAUGGAGGUAGAGCACUGUUUGGACUAGGGGCCCAUCUCGGGUUACCGAAUUCAGAUAAACUCCGAAUGCCAUUCAUUCAUAUCCGGGAGUCAGACUGUGAGUGAUAAGAUCCAUAGUCGAAAGGGAAACAGCCCAGACCACCAGCUAAGGUCCCAAAAUAUAUGUUAAGUGGAAAAGGAUGUGGGGUUGCACAGACAACUAGGAUGUUGGCUUAGAAGCAGCCACCAUUUAAAGAGUGCGUAAUAGCUCACUAGUCGAGUGACCCUGCGCCGAAAAUGUACCGGGGCUAAACAUAUUACCGAAGCUGUGGAGUACACCUUUAGGUGUAUUGGUAGGAGAGCGUUCUAAGGGCGUCGAAGGCAGAUCGUGAGGACUGCUGGAGCGCUUAGAAGUGAGAAUGCCGGUAUGAGUAGCGAAAGACAGGUGAGAAUCCUGUCCACCGAAUGACUAAGGUUUCCUGGGGAAGGCUCGUCCGCCCAGGGUUAGUCGGGACCUAAGCCGAGGCCGAUAGGCGUAGGCGAUGGAUAACAGGUUGAUAUUCCUGUACCCGUUGUUUUUGUUUGAGCAAUGGAGGGACGCAGGAGGCUAAGGAAUGCAGACGAUCGGAAAUGUCUGUCCAAGCAGUAAGUCUGAAGAGGAGUCAAAUGCUUCUUUUCUUAAGGACAAGCUGUGAUGGGGAGGGAAAUAAUAGUACCGAAGUUCCUGAUGUCACACUGCCGAGAAAAGCUUCUAGUGAGAAAACAGCGGCCCGUACCGCAAACCGACACAGGUAGUCGAGGAGAGAAUCCUAAGGUGAGCGAGAGAACUCUCGUUAAGGAACUCGGCAAAAUGACCCCGUAACUUCGGGAGAAGGGGUGCUGAUCAUACGAUCAGCCGCAGUGAAUAGGCCCAAGCGACUGUUUAUCAAAAACACAGGUCUCUGCAAAAUCGUAAGAUGAAGUAUAGGGGCUGACGCCUGCCCGGUGCUGGAAGGUUAAGAGGAGUGCUUAGCGCAAGCGAAGGUACGAAUUGAAGCCCCAGUAAACGGCGGCCGUAACUAUAACGGUCCUAAGGUAGCGAAAUUCCUUGUCGGGU
Molecule: ribosomal RNA, 1964 nt
Filed under: human gut metagenome
Description: bacterial LSU rRNA
Rfam family: Bacterial large subunit ribosomal RNA
Source: RNAcentral